GUAAAGGAAAAUAAUGAUAUUACUUUACUAUUAGUGUCGUCCAAGUGCUCGUGCCAGAAGACUCGGUAAGGCGAGAGACGCAAACGUUAUUCGUCUUGAUCAGGCGUAAAGGGUUUGUAGGCUGCUUUAAGUACCUAAAUUUAAGUUUACUAUUAUAAAAUUACUGUUGUAGUAUUAUAAUAUUUAAAAAAGGGUCAAUUAAAGCUAGAAUCUAAAAGAGGUUAAAACAAUGCUUGAUAUACAGGUGUACUAACCGAAAACAACAAGUAGAGUGUUAAGGGCGAAGGCUUUUAUCCAAUAAAGAUUGACGCUGAGAAACGAAGGUGAGGACAGAAAAAAGGAUUAGAGACCCUUGUAUCCCUCACUGUCAACGAUGAAUGGUAGUUACUAGGUAGAAGAUGACCUAGAGACGAUGUUAACACGAAAACCAUUCCGCCUUGUGAGUACGACUGCAAAGUUGAAAACAAAAAAAUUAGUCGGUUUCGGAGCAAACGAAGUGAAGCAUGUUAUUUA
Molecule: ribosomal RNA, 513 nt
Filed under: Inonotus griseus
Lineage: Eukaryota; Fungi; Basidiomycota; Agaricomycetes; Hymenochaetales; Hymenochaetaceae
Description: SSU rRNA
Rfam family: Bacterial small subunit ribosomal RNA
Source: RNAcentral